This 368-nucleotide ribosomal RNA is filed under the name uncultured organism. RNAcentral's name for it is "bacterial LSU rRNA". It matches the Rfam family "Bacterial large subunit ribosomal RNA", at positions 2099 to 2465 of the family's 2925-position model. The record is from RNAcentral.
CUUUACUAUAGCCUGGAAUUGUGUUCGGGCUUUUCUUGCGCAGCCUAGGUGGGAGGCUAUGAAGAUUUCCUUCCGGGGAAGUUGGAGCCAUCAGUGAGAGACCACUCUGGAGAGGCUAGAAUCCUAAUGGUGAUCCUUGAAUCAGGGCACUUGACAGUUUCAGGUGGGCAGUUUUUCUGGGGCGGAAGCCUCAUAAAGGGUAACUGAGGCGCGCAAAGGUCCCCUCAGUCUGGACGGAAAUCAGACAACGAGUGUAAAGGCAAAAGGGGGCUUGACUGCAAGACCUACAAGUCGAGCAGGAGCGAAAGCUGGCCCUAGUGAUCCGACGGUACCGUGUGGAAGGGCCGUCGCUCAACGAAUAAAAGUUA